Molecule: long non-coding RNA, 6869 nt
Filed under: Homo sapiens (human)
Lineage: Eukaryota; Metazoa; Chordata; Mammalia; Primates; Hominidae
Description: HSALNT0021998
Source: RNAcentral
UGAUUUGUGCAUGUUUCUACUCUCUCAUAACAUGAUCAACACAGUCAGAUUCUCCUUCAGCACUGGAAUAAGUUACUGAUUCUUGCUGUGCCUCAGGAAUCAGAGCUGGUUCGUGUUUAGGGGCUUUUUUCAGUUCUGUGCUUGGACCUGGGAAAGAGGAGCCCCUGGCCUGGGCCCUGUGUUUCAGACAGCCUUCCUGAAUAUCACACAAAAAAGUAAAUACAUGUUUUAAAAACACAUGACUACUUCCAUCACUUGGAAUCCAGAGCUCAGUACUAGAACUGUGUGAUACAUAAUCAAGGCGGGCUACAUAAUCUGGAUGGCUCGGAGCAAAAUAAAAAUGUUUCUUUUACAAAAAGCAGACAAAAUGCUAUGAAAUAAACACAUGAAAUGUUUUUCCUUCUUCCAGGGUCUCUCUCUCCUGUCAUGUUGUUUUUAUCUGUUCUUUAAUGCUGUUCUAAGUAAGGAAAUUUAAAAUUACUAGCAUGAAUCUUCUUCUUCUUUAUAUUGUGCAACUCCAGUUUCAAAUACAAACAUCAGAGCAUUUAACUUGCAUGCAAACUCACUGAAAUUACACCAUCUACAUUUUGUGGCUCAACCCCCGGAGCUGGCCAAAAGAGACAAACACAAGCCAGACCCAGAAAAAAAUAGAAGAAGGAAGAGAGGAUUCCCCCCAAGGGCAUGGAGCCAGGUGAGGGAGUGCUUGGUAGGGAGAUUGGAGUUGGGAGUAUAGCCCCACACUACUGUCUGGGAGGCUCUGCCCUCCAUGAGUCUCUCACACACUUGCUGGACCUGACAGCCACUGGGUUUCCAGUUCUACCAGCCCAGCCACUGAAGGCAUGUGCAGAACCCAGGCCAGGGGCGGGAUCUGAAGAAGCUGAGCUCUGCCUUUCUCUUUCCUACCCGUCCCACUCCCCAACUCAAGGCAGAUUGGCAGCCCCACAAGGAUUGUUGAAAGUUUGCACCUGAAGGUGCCUGUUACCUGGAUCCAGGAUGGGGGAAGCCAGCUGCCAUGUUGUGAGCAACCCUAUGGAGAGACCCUCGUGGUGGGCACUGAGGCCUCUGCCAGCAAUAAGCUGAGGAGCAGAUCCUUUAUCCCACUCAAGCCUUUGGAUGACUUCAGCCUUUGCCAAGACCUUUGAGUGCAACCAUAUGAGAUAACCCAAGCCAGAAGCACUAGCUAAGCCACUCCUGGAUCCCUGCUCCUCAAAGAUUCUGUGACAUAAUAUACGUAUUUUUAAUUUAAAGUACAACACUUUGGGGGUGACUUGUUAUGCUGCAAUAGAUAACUAACAUGACCAUAUAACAAUAGGAAUAAUAACCAACAAAUCAGGUCCCUUUUCUUCAUCAGAAGGAUUUCAUGAUAUUGCUCAGGUCUAGACUUGGGUAUGGCGAUUCCAAUGGAGUGACUUCAUCCUUCUGACUCAGCAUCUAACUUCUGAUGCUACAUUGUCCAUUUACUGGAAAACUUGUUGCUUAUUCCAUGUUGCCUUCAUUAAUUGCCACUACUGAUACCUAGUACACCAGUCUCAAGAGCAGCUAUUCAGAAGACAAAGGUCUCUGAUAGAAACAGAUGUUCUGUUCAUCUUUUUUGCUGCUUAUAUUAAACCAUUGCAACAGAUUUGUUGCCUUGAUUCUGAUUGUAGAUGUUUUGCACAAAUUAUAUCCCUUUUUAAGUGGCAACAACCACUCCUAGAAUACAUACACAGCAUGAUCAAACCCUCAUCAUUUACACCUCAGUCCUGAGCCACUUGUUUUUUUUUGCUUUUUGUUUUAUGUUUUUUUUUUUGAGACGGAGCUCGCUUUGUUGUCCAGGGUGGAAUGCAGUGGCGCGAUCUCGGCUCACUGCAAGCUCCGCCUCCCGGGUUCACGCCAUUCUCCUGCGUCAGCCUCCUGAGUAGCAGGGACUACAGGUGUGUGCCAUCAUGCCCGGCUAAUUUUUUGUAUCUUUAGUAGAGACAGGGUUUCACCGUGUUAGCCAGGAUGGUCUUGAUCUUCUGACCUCGUGAUCCACCCGCCUCGGCCUCCCAAAGUGCUGGGAUUACAGGUGUGAGCCACCGCGCCUGGCCGAGCCACUUCUUCCAUCAGCCCGAUUCCUUACCUUUUUGGCCUUUUUUUCUCACCACUGGGUCCUUGUCUUAUCUCUGCUUCCCUAAUUCUGGUUUUCUAUUCUUCAGUAAAUGUCCUACUCCAUCUCACUUGGUUCUGAGAUCUUUCUCUCCUGGUGCUGUCUCCAUUGUAGAGAACUGGCCAUAUAUUCCUUGACACUGUCAGUCAGACUCAGAGAAAGUCUAGCUCUGUUGUUUGUUCUCACCUUUAAGACAUUGCCUCUGAGUGUCUGGUUCUAAACAAUGCCCUGUCUCUCUUGAUUCUUCCAGAUGCCCCAUGUGGAAUUAUUCAGCCAUCAUUAGUCUGGGCCAGGGUGGCUUCUGCACCUGUCUUCAUCCUCAGAUAUUUUCAGCUUUAUCUUGUUGUUUAUAUCAGAAACCCUUGUUGUUGAUGAUGUUCUUUUCUAAAUGUAGACUGCAAUGGUUCUCAAUCAUGACUGGCGUUAAAAUCUCCUGAAGAAAAAAAGAGAAUGCUUACAUACUAUUGGCGGUAAUGUAAAUUAGUUCAUCCACUGUGGAAAGCAGUUUGGAGAUUUCUCUAAGAACUAAAAACAGAACUACAAUUUGAUCCAGCAAUUUCUUUACUGGGUGUAUAUCCAAAGAAAAUAAGUCAUUCUAUGAAAAAAAUAUACGCACUUGUACAUUCAUUGUAGCACUAUUCACCAUAGCAAAGACAUGAAAUCAACCUAUGUGUCCAUCAAUGGGACUGGAUAAAAAACAUGUGGUACAUGUACACCAUGGAAUACUAUACAGCCAUAAAAAAGAAUGAAAUCAUGUCCUUUCCAGCAACACAAAUUCAGUUAGAGGCCAUCAUCCUAAGCAAAUUAACUCAGGAACAGGAAACCAAAUAUUGCAUCUUCUAACUUAUAAGUGGGAGUUUAAUAUUUGGCACUCAUGGACAUGAAGAUGAGAACAAUAAACACUGGGGACUACUAAAAGGGAUGGGAGGAGAGUGAGCAUAGAAAAACUAGCUGUUGGGUACUAUGCUCACUACCUGUGUGAUGGGAUCAUUUGUAUCUCAAACUCCGCAUCAAGCAAUAUAACCAUAUCACAGACUUACAUGUGUACCCUCUGAAUCUAAAAUAAAAGGUGAAAUGGUUAAAAAAUAAUAUCUCCUGGAAACAUUGAAAAAUAGUCAGAUGCCCAGAUCCUAUUCCAGAUCAGUCAUAAAUAUUUAUGAAAAGCUUCCAGUUGAUUUUCCUGAGUAUCUAGGGGAUAGAACCAAUUGUAUUCAGUGAGGGCCAAGAAAAUUGUAAUGCUGUGCCCACUAAACAAAAACCAUCUGGGAGCCAGAUUCACACUAGGGUGGCCAGUUUGUGACCUCUGACUAGAGGGUGUGUUGACGGUCUUGCUGGGAAGCCAGGGGCUUUGUUUGUGUACUCCCACAAGAUCCUCCAGAUGGGUAAAGGAAACAGUGAGCAGAGAAUUCAGAAGCAAUUAGCUAGUGCAUACGCUUCCAGGGCAGCCCUGCUCCAAGAGGACAUCUGAUAACCUGCAGAUAAUUAUAAGUUUAUGGCGAACAAACUAUUGCUGAAAGAUGGCAUCGUGCACAGCUGUUGUUUAGACAAACCCGCUGUAGAGUUUUGGACUUGGCACUAGGAAUCCCUAACCGUGGCUAAACAGAAAAACUCUGUUUGUGCAGAUGGAAAUUCAAGAUAGAAUGAGUGUCAAAGCUUUAAGAACAAAAGAAACAGAAGCUUGUCUGUUUUGAAAAGAAUAAAAGUGCUGGUGUAUAGUGAUAUAGUUCUUAAUCUACACAUGUGAAUGUCCAUAUGCUACUGCAGUUGUUAACUCCAAAUCCAACAUUAAGAAAAUGGAUUUGAUCUUUGCAUUAGUGUGUAGAGCAAGAUUCUCAAACUGAGUAAAUUAUAAUUGCUUUCCAAUCUAUCUCCCUUAACAUGUUUAUACAUAGUGUUUAUAAGAGGUGCUAAUAAUAUACAUAGCAAGUGCUUUCUGAUUUCUUUUUAACAUUUUAACAUAGCUGUUUAAGAAAUUUUAAUAUAAUCUCUGCUAUGCUGAUUAACUGAUAGAAAUGGUAUUAAUGACUUUUUAAGAUUUUAGUUCAUUCUAUUCAUAAGCCAGAUGCACAAGGAUUAAACUGUAUCCAUAGUCUUGAGGAAUCCAUAAUCAAAGAAAAUUUAAUAUUUAAAAUUGGAAGUAUUUAAAAAAAUUUAUCAGUAUUCCAGCCUCAUUCUAAUUGGUGAUUCAACUUAUUGGGGGUAAGAGCACCCAGUGGGGCACAUGGGGUCUGUCAGUCCUUGAGAUACACACAGACCUUUUUGAAUCCCGGCUUCAUCACCCACACAUUAUGUGACUCCAGGCAAUCACUCGACCUCUCCCACUGAGUGUCUAAAAAUAUCACAAUACCUGCUUUCCCAGCUGAUUUUUGUUAUAAUCAGAAACUGUAAAUAUAAAGCAUAUCAUAUACAAGGUACUGAGUGCACACUCUGAGCAGAUACUUGGUUAAGUGCAAGGCAAAGAACAAGAAGCGCAGGGUACAGUCUGUCUUCUAGCAGCUGACAAUAUAUUUGAGACAAUAUAGGCAAAUGAUUAAAAGGAAAUUAAUUAAAAAUACAGGGUACUUGCAUUAAGUAUUUAAGUUCAGAUGAGAUAUCUAUCUUUUAUAAUUUGUGUAUCUUGCAUCUAAUAUGCCGUAAAGUUUCCUGUUAUUAAAUAGAUCCUUUAACCCUCACCCUAACUCUAACCUCAUGUGUAAAAAAUAUAUAGUUUAAUUUCAUCCUUAACAUAAUCAUUAAGAGACAUCACUUUAUUGAUAAGAAGUAAGUUAAAAAUUUUAUCGUAACGGUGAGAUAUGUAAUUCAUCUAUGUCAUUAGUCAGAGGUUCAAAUAUGAAUCAACUAAAUGCUAUUUGUAAUACAGAUGGGAUUAAUAAUUCCAUCUAUAUGUUAAUAAUAUUAGCCUUGAGACAGGCGAACUGCAACUGUCAAUCUGCUGGUAUCUCAGGCCAAGUGGGUUGAGAUCUAGAGCAAGUAAGCCCCAAAGUGUGCGUAUAAGUCAGGUUUCCAUAACUACCAGUGGUUUGGUAGGCAGGCUACUUUCCAAGGACUGAUCUUCAGUACAAAGGUGGUCAAAAGGCUGCUGGAGCAAAAGGUAGGUGUGAAUCAUCCUAGGUGCUAGUCAGAGUCAAUAAAAUUAAUAUAACCAAAAACAGAGCAGGGAUUCUGGACAUACAAAUUCAGACAGAAAAUAGGAGGUUUAAUUUCUUUCCUUUUCUGUGAAAUUGGCCUAAAAUGAAAACUUUUCAUUUUGCAUUAAUGACAGUCUAAUAUUAAUGAUGGGUAAAUUUCAUGACACUUUCACAAAGAUAGACUUUAUCUUCAUAAAAUUAUUAAACUUGGUUAUAACAUUAGCGAGUGUUCAGUCAGUGAGGUUAUGGGUAUAUGUUUUCUAUGUUAGAUUUUUGAAGAUAAACCUCCAAAGAUAGAUUUAAAUCUAUGGUUAAAGGUAAUGUCAUAGAUAAGUGACAUGAUUCAUGGUCAUCUCAAUUUUUGCUGUGUCCUCAUGAUACAAAUUGCUUUGACCACUUUAAUUAAAAUGGUGUUCAAUAAAAUAUUGGGGGCUCUAUAAACUAAGCUUUUUGAUGUAGUAUAGAGCAAAAAAAGAAAAAAAAAAGAUAGGCUAUGCUUUUCUUUCAUUUUGCAGCCACAACAAGAAUUCUGUAUCUCAAAAUUUGAAGACUCAUGGAUACUCAUGAGUACAUGAAUAGUAUGGAACUCAGGACACACAGAUUUUCUUCAAAGAUACAAUUUCUGAAAGCCUGGAGGUCUUUAAAGACAAUAAAAUAAUCCCUUAAAGUAUUUUUCUUUAAUUGUCUGAACAAAAAUGUGUUGUGCUCUUAGAGGAGACACUUUUAAUGUCUGAAGAACAUAUGAAACCCAGUGCCUUAGAACAAAUUCGAAUUCAGAGGGAAGGUAACUUUAUUUGGAAGUUAUAGUGUCCUGAAACUAACCGAACUUGUGGAAAACAAGCAGCCUUCUUUCCCUUGGAAGGCCUUUGGGAAAAUAUGUCUACAAGUGUCCCUGUGGAGUCAGUAUUUCGGAGACAACAUAGGAACCACAUGUCCUUUUCCUUGCCUGUCCAGCGAUGUCUAAUGUGGGUGUUCAUUGAGCCUGACAACCAGAGUGUCCUUAAAAGCAGCUGAUCUCAUUCUCUGUGGGCGCUGAGUUCCUCGUUCUCAAAGUCAGAAGUCAUGGAUGAGUCCAGAAGCUCCAGCCCUGCCCCAUGACCCACCUCUCUGCCUGACAGUCUCGGUGAGAGAGCCAGAGCCAGAGCCCUCAGACCCCUGCUGCCAUCAAGCAGCGGAACAGCCUCUUUUGUUAUCAGACGGCUCCAAGAAUGCGGAUGCAGCAGUUAGCUCACUCUCUUAAGCCUCUUGUGGUUAACAUGAAUAGCAUUCUUUCAAUUGCUGCCGAUAUGAAAUAUCCUAAGUCUUCAAGUCAACAAUUAAAAACUCAAGGUCAUAUUUUUACAGGAGAUACUGAAAAUAUUUGCAUUUGGGAGGUAAAACAUUUUAAAUUGGAGUGGUAUGUGUAUUUAUUCUGCAUCUAGAUGUUGUAAAAUGAAGUAGAGGUUUGUCAGUUAUUCAGGUUUUAUGAGGCUGGAGAAAGUCAAGACAGAUGAUAUGCUCCCCAAAUAAGAUCGAUCUAUCUAUCUAUCUAUCUAUCUAUCUAUCUAUCUAUCUAUCUAUCAUCUAUCUGUCAUCUAUCUAUCAUCUAUCAUCUAUCUAUCUAUCUAUCUAUC